This is a small nuclear RNA of Cebus imitator (Panamanian white-faced capuchin), 108 nucleotides long. NCBI's taxonomy places the organism in Eukaryota, Metazoa, Chordata, Mammalia, Primates, Cebidae. The record is from RefSeq and is a predicted model, not a curated record.
GUGCUGCUCACUUUGGCCGCACGUAUACUAAAACUGAACAAUACAGAGGAGAUUAGCAUGCCCCCUGCUUAGGAUGACAUGCAAAUCUGUGAAGCAUUCCAUAUGUUU